UCCUAGAGGAAGUUGCAUCUACUAGAACCUUGAGUGAUGAGAAGGUGCUCACUAGAAAUGUUCCAGGCCUGGUGGACACACAUGAAAAGACCAGAGCUACAGAACUUGGUACUUCUACCAAGAAUGAACACCUAAGCUGCUGUUGUUGGGGCCAUGACAAUCGCUGGGGAGACCACUACAGGACAAAUAGAGGAUAGACUGGAUUGUGGAGAAACCCCGUCAGGAUUUUGGUAACUGAAAGGAUAGGUUAGAAGGAAGAAAGGAAUCCUUAAGGAAAAUACCUUGGCACGAGCAAGAAGGGACUGAAAGCAGCCUGAAUGAGAGGGAGAAGAUACAAAGCCUACAAACAAAGGCAAGAACUGCCACUGCAGUUUAC
Molecule: long non-coding RNA, 376 nt
Filed under: Homo sapiens (human)
Lineage: Eukaryota; Metazoa; Chordata; Mammalia; Primates; Hominidae
Description: HSALNT0028677
Source: RNAcentral